AAGUAAUAAUGAUAGAAUUAGUAGUUUUGAAUAUUUAAGUUUAGGAACUCGGCAAAUUUUAUUCUCGCCUGUUUAACAAAAACAUGUCUUAUAGAUUAUUAAUUUUAAGUCUGCCCUGCUCAGUGAUUUAUUUAACAGCCGCAGUAUCUUGACUGUGCGAAGGUAGCAUAAUCAUUUGUCUCUUAAUUAGAGGCUAGUAUGAAUGG
This 206-nucleotide ribosomal RNA is filed under the name Sephina subulata. RNAcentral describes it as "partial large subunit ribosomal RNA". The stretch from base 63 to 206 matches the Rfam family "Archaeal large subunit ribosomal RNA", at positions 1886 to 2076 of the family's 2987-position model. Lineage: Eukaryota; Metazoa; Arthropoda; Insecta; Hemiptera; Coreidae. The record is from RNAcentral.